GAUGAAGAACGCAGCGAAAUGCGAUAAGUAAUGUGAAUUGCAGAAUUCAGUGAAUCAUCGAAUCUUUGAACGCACCUUGCGCCCUUUGGCCAUUCCGAAGGGCAUGCCUGUUUGAGUAUCAUGAACACCUCAACUCUUUAUGGUUUUCCAUGAUGAGCUUGGACUUUGGGGGUUUUGCUGGCCUAUGGUCGGCUCCUCUAAAAUAAAUCAGCUUACCGGUGUUUGGUGGGUAUCAUGGGUGUGAUAACUAUCUACGCUUGUGGUUUUUCCACCAGGUAACCUUCGACAGCGGAGGUUCACUGGAGCUCAUAGAUGUCUCUCCUCAGCGAGGACAGCCCUUUGAAUGUUUGAUCUCAAAUCAGGUAGGACUACCCGCUGAACUUAAGCAUAUCAAUAAGCGGAGGA
RNAcentral lists this unclassified non-coding RNA (405 nucleotides) under soil metagenome. Its description in RNAcentral is "partial contains 5.8S ribosomal RNA, internal transcribed spacer 2, and large subunit ribosomal RNA". The stretch from base 1 to 121 matches the Rfam family "5.8S ribosomal RNA", at positions 35 to 154 of the family's 154-position model. The record is from RNAcentral.